GACGAACGCUGGCGGCGUGCCUAAUACAUGCCAGUAGAACGCACAGUUUAUACCGUAGCUUGCUACACCAUAGACUGUGAGUUGCGAACGGGUGAGUAACGCGUAGGUAACCUGCCUGGUAGCGGGGGAUAACUAUUGGAAACGAUAGCUAAUACCGCAUAAUAUUAAUUAUUGCAUGAUAAUUAAUUGAAAGGUGCAAUUGCACCACUACCAGAUGGACCUGCGUUGUAUUAGCUAGUAGGUGAGGUAACGGCUCACCUAGGCGACGAUACAUAGCCGAACUGAGAGGGUGAUCGGCCACACUGGGACUGAGACACGGCCCAGACUCCUACGGGAGGCAGCAGUAGGGAAUCUUCGGCAAUGGACGAAAGUCUGACCGAGCAACGCCGCGUGAGUGAAGAAGGUUUUCGGAUCGUAAAGCUCUGUUGUAAGAGAAGAACGGGGGUGAGAGUGGAAAGUUCACACUGUGACGGUAUCUUACCAGAAAGGGACGGCUAACUACGUG
RNAcentral lists this ribosomal RNA (505 nucleotides) under uncultured bacterium. RNAcentral describes it as "partial 16S ribosomal RNA". It matches the Rfam family "Bacterial small subunit ribosomal RNA", at positions 28 to 507 of the family's 1533-position model. The record is from RNAcentral.